This 319-nucleotide unclassified non-coding RNA is filed under the name Basidiomycota sp. RNAcentral describes it as "partial contains small subunit ribosomal RNA, internal transcribed spacer 1, and 5.8S ribosomal RNA". The stretch from base 1 to 47 matches the Rfam family "Eukaryotic small subunit ribosomal RNA", at positions 1785 to 1831 of the family's 1831-position model. The record is from RNAcentral. Lineage: Eukaryota; Fungi; Basidiomycota.
AAAGUCGUAACAAGGUUUCCGUAGGUGAACCUGCGGAAGGAUCAUUAACACGAAUCUUUUAUCCAAUAUCAAAAACUCAACGCGAACUUUUCCCCUCCCUAUUUCAAACUCGUAAGGGUUUGAUUUAGGCUAACCUUUUAUAAAAAAUUUUUAACCCCUUUAAUUUUGAUAAGUCUUAGGUUAACACCUUGACUAACUAACUAAAAAUUUUACUUAAGAUGUCAACAUGUAUGUUGUGCUUCUUAAUUAAUAUUUUUUCUUUACGAAAUAAAUAUUAGUAUUAUAAGAACAACUCUUAGCAAUGGAUAUCUUGGUUCUC